RNAcentral lists this ribosomal RNA (452 nucleotides) under uncultured bacterium. Its description in RNAcentral is "bacterial SSU rRNA". It matches the Rfam family "Bacterial small subunit ribosomal RNA", at positions 340 to 786 of the family's 1533-position model. The record is from RNAcentral.
UACGGGAGGCAGCAGUGGGGAAUAUUGCACAAUGGGCGCAAGCCUGAUGCAGCCAUGCCGCGUGUAUGAAGAAGGCCUUCGGGUUGUAAAGUACUUUCAGUCGUGAGGAAGGUGUUAAGGUUAAUAACCUUAGCAAUUGACGUUAGCGACAGAAGAAGCACCGGCUAACUCCGUGCCAGCAGCCGCGGUAAUACGGAGGGUGCGAGCGUUAAUCGGAAUUACUGGGCGUAAAGGGCACGCAGGCGGUUAAUUAAGUUGGAUGUGAAAUCCCCGGGCUUAACCUGGGAAUGGCAUUCAAGACUGGUUAGCUAGAGUCUUGUAGAGGGGGUAGAAUUCCAUGUGUAGCGGUGAAAUGCGUAGAGAUGUGGAGGAAUACCGGUGGCGAAGGCGGCCCCUGGACAAGACUGACGCUCAUGCGCGAAAGCGUGGGGAGCAAACGAGGAUUAGAUACC